This 253-nucleotide ribosomal RNA is filed under the name uncultured bacterium. RNAcentral describes it as "partial 16S ribosomal RNA". It matches the Rfam family "Bacterial small subunit ribosomal RNA", at positions 524 to 776 of the family's 1533-position model. The record is from RNAcentral.
UACGAAGGUGGCAAGCGUUGUUCGGAUUUACUGGGCGUACAGGGAGCGUAGGCGGUUGGAUAAGCCCUCCGUGAAAUCUCCAGGCUUAACCUGGAAAGUGCAGAGGGGACUGUUCAGCUAGAGGAUGGGAGAGGAGCGCGGAAUUCCCGGUGUAGCGGUGAAAUGUGUAGAGAUCGGGAGGAAGGCCGGUGGCGAAGGCGGCGCUCUGGAACAUUUCUGACGCUGAGGCUCGAAAGCGUGGGGAGCAAACAGG